UACGUAGGGGGCAAGCGUUGUCCGGAAUCAUUGGGCGUAAAGCGCGCGUAGGCGGCCCGGUAAGUCCGUUGUGAAAGUCAAAGGCUCAACCUUUGAACGCCGAUGGAUACUGCCGGGCUAGAGUCCGGAAGGGGCGAGUGGAAUUCCUGGUGUAGCGGUGGAAUGCGCAGAUAUCAGGAGGAACACCAAUAGCGAAGGCAGCUCGCUGGGACGGUACUGACGCUGAGGCGCGAAAGCGUGGGGAGCGAACAGG
RNAcentral lists this ribosomal RNA (253 nucleotides) under uncultured bacterium. RNAcentral's name for it is "partial 16S ribosomal RNA". It matches the Rfam family "Bacterial small subunit ribosomal RNA", at positions 524 to 776 of the family's 1533-position model. The record is from RNAcentral.